AGUUCAGUGCGGCGAAUAAGUAACUGCAUGAGGUCUUCGGCCAAAGUCUCUAUACUGGAAUAGCGCACCUUCUCGAAGUCAAAAAUGUCUUUGAGAAAGAAAAGAACUUGAUUCUGGAAAAUGAACACAAAACAGGUGUACAACACAAUGAUUCAACAAGUCUGUACAUUACUCAGUGCUCACCAAGUAAUCUACACCCAACGAAGGGCUGGAACUCACAAUCCCAAGAUCAAGAGUUGUAUGCUCUACCAACUGAGCCAGCCAGUGGAAAUCCCAUGGCUGCCUCAAGAGGGAGAAGGACUUCAAAACAGGAGUGGCCGACCCAGUACCAGCAAGCCAUUCACCCAGCUUGAGGGGCCGUCCUUAUGAGCUGCUGCCCCACUUGAGGACUGACAGGAGCCUCAAAUCACUCAACAAAGAGGUCUAAGGCACAAUGAAAUUUACCUUCAUCUGUUGCCUUUUCUGUUUCAGCACUGACCAACAACUUGAAGCCACAGCCUAGAUAAAUGCAGAUGAGAAAAAGCAAGACUUAAAUUUAUAACUAUAUAAACUUUGCAUUAGGAGUGAUUUUUAUUAGAAAUUAAUAGGUUAUAAGUCUAAAAUGCCCAAAGCAUUAACCACUGAUAACAACUAGUCCAGGUUCCUUCUACUGUUUCUAAAUAAUAAUGAAAAGAUAUUUUGUUUUUAUAAAUUUUAAAAUCAAAUGCAAAGACACUGAAGGAAAAAGGUUAAACCCUGGUACCAGAAACUUGGUAACCAUAGUUCGACUCUCAGAGUUCUUCAAUUCUGUUCCGAUGGGAAAAGAGUGAAAAUGAAAAUAUGUGUACACAGAUACACAUAUACAACAAUUGUUUUAUGUGUAAUAAUGAAGACAAAGUAAUUUUUUUUUCUUCAAGAAUAGUACUGCUGGAGGGGCGCCUGGGUGGCUCAGUCGGUUGAGCGUCCGACUUUGGCUCAGGUCAUGGUCUCAUAGCUUGUAAGUUCGAGCCCUGCAUCAGGCUCUGUGCUGACAGCUCGGAGCCUGGAGCCUGCUUCAGAUUCAGCACCUUCCUCUCUCUCUGCCCCAACCCACUAGCAUUCUGUCUCUCUCUCUCUCAAAAAGAAAUAAACAUUUUAAAAAAAUUAAAAAAAAAAAAGAAUAGUACUGCUGGAAAUAGCUGUGGGUGGAGCUAAAAGUUUUAUUCUAAUAAAGAACUAAGAAAACAACCUUAAUGAUAGGGACUAAAACACCCAAGUGGAUCUUAAAGAAAUCUGGCAUGGCCCAACUUUGAUCAAGGUCACCUUACCAAAUCAGUUACAGAAAUGGGAGAACAUGUACCUUUUAUAGUUAAAGCACAUUUUAAGGGAAAAGUGGAUUUAUUAAAAAUGCUUUAAAAUAUAGUGGCAGGAAUUUCCAAAAUAAUUGUAAAACAGGCCCCUGGGACAUUUCUUAAAAGGCAUUCAAAUUGCAUCAUUGCAUUGAAUAUCUAUUCCACCUGCUUCCAGGUACACACUUAAAACACAACAAAGAAACAAUGUCAGAUAGAGAUUUGAAUACAAAAAAACAAGAGAAACUGAAAACAUUUAAAGUACAGAAUACAGUUUAAACUUGUUUUAUUUUUGCAUAUGCCUAUUUCUUUUCCUCCCCUAAUUUUUAAAAAAUUUUUACAAAUUUUUCAUUUUUAAGUUAUUUCUACACCCAAUGUGGGGAUUGAACUCACAACCCCAAUAUCAAGAGUCACAUGCUCUACCGGCUGAGCCAGCCAGGCACCCCUUUCUCCCCUAAUUUUUGAUAUUAUUUGAGAACAUGAAUCUCCAGAUCUUCCUCUAAGAAAUACAUACUGUCUGUUUACAACCGCUAUAUCUCAGUUUGGUCAUAGAGACAGUUCAGUUACAAUUUUUGGUUAGGCCUGAACGAGUCUGAAGCCUGAGUUUAUUUCGAGAUCUGAAGAAAUACUGGGUCCUCCAGGUCAAGAGAGGGACUGACAGAAGAGCCAAAGGGCAAUUUCAUCUGAAGAUACAGUGUAUCAUACACGUCUGAUCCCAAUAUCAAAGAAUGAGCUCAGUUUCCACACUAGUCAUUCUAUAGGUAGAUAUAUAAAUAAAUCCUAUUAAUCUUCCCGGUUCUGACCAUUUUUCAUCAAAUUGAAAUGGUUGAGAAAAAGGAAAACCACCACUUACAGUUUC
Molecule: long non-coding RNA, 2166 nt
Organism: Acinonyx jubatus (cheetah)
Lineage: Eukaryota; Metazoa; Chordata; Mammalia; Carnivora; Felidae
Exons: 4
Source: RefSeq, a predicted model, not a curated record